GAUGAACGCUGGCGGCGUGCCUAAUACAUGCAAGUCGAGCGAACAGACGAGGAGCUUGCUCCUCUGACGUUAGCGGCGGACGGGUGAGUAACACGUGGAUAACCUACCUAUAAGACUGGGAUAACUUCGGGAAACCGGAGCUAAUACCGGAUAAUAUAUUGAACCGCAUGGUUCAAUAGUUAAAGACGGUUUUGCUGUCUCUUAUAGAUGGAUCCGCGCCGCAUUAGCUAGUUGGUAAGGUAACGGCUUACCAAGGCAACGAUGCGUAGCCGACCUGAGAGGGUGAUCGGCCACACUGGAACUGAGACACGGUCCAGACUCCUACGGGAGGCAGCAGUAGGGAAUCUUCCGCAAUGGGCGAAAGCCUGACGGAGCAACGCUGCGUGAGUGAUGAAGGUCUUCGGAUCGUAAAACUCUGUUAUUAGGGAAGAACAAAUGUGUAAGUAACUAUGCACGUCUUGACGGUACCUAAUCAGAAAGCCACGGCUAACUACGUG
Molecule: ribosomal RNA, 497 nt
Filed under: uncultured bacterium
Lineage: Bacteria
Description: partial 16S ribosomal RNA
Rfam family: Bacterial small subunit ribosomal RNA
Source: RNAcentral